Molecule: long non-coding RNA, 237 nt
Filed under: Ananas comosus (pineapple)
Lineage: Eukaryota; Viridiplantae; Streptophyta; Magnoliopsida; Poales; Bromeliaceae
Description: long non-coding RNA (ACOM_LNC040011)
Source: RNAcentral
GCGAGCCGGCGAGCGACCGAGGUAAAGGUAUCGCGCCUUAGACAGAGGCCACCAAUGUUGGGUUUCAUUUUGUAGUAAAGUACCUUAUGAUCAUCUUUUGUAUUUGAUGAUUAGUAAUGUAAAGAAAAGAAUAUAAAGCUUAUUUUGAGGAAAAUGUGAUGUAAGAAAGAAAUGAUGAAGUUAUGUAAUGGAAUGCAAAGAAUUCAAAAAUUUUUAGAUGAAUGCAAUGUAUAUGAU